This 284-nucleotide ribosomal RNA is filed under the name uncultured Pseudomonas sp. RNAcentral's name for it is "partial 16S ribosomal RNA". It matches the Rfam family "Bacterial small subunit ribosomal RNA", at positions 1097 to 1382 of the family's 1533-position model. Lineage: Bacteria; Pseudomonadati; Pseudomonadota; Gammaproteobacteria; Pseudomonadales; Pseudomonadaceae. The record is from RNAcentral.
CGCAACCCUUGUCCUUAGUUACCAGCACGUUAUGGUGGGCACUCUAAGGAGACUGCCGGUGACAACCGGAGGAAGUGGGGAUGACGUCAAGUCAUCAUGGCCCUUACGGCCUGGGCUACACACGUGCUACAAUGGUCGGUACAAAGGGUUGCCAAGCCGCGAGGUGGAGCUAAUCCCAUAAAACCGAUCGUAGUCCGGAUCGCAGUCUGCAACUCGACUGCGUGAAGUCGGAAUCGCUAGUAAUCGUGAAUCAGAAUGUCACGGUGAAUACGUUCCCGGGCCUU